This 1237-nucleotide ribosomal RNA is filed under the name Raeta sp. Its description in RNAcentral is "16S ribosomal RNA". It matches the Rfam family "Bacterial large subunit ribosomal RNA", at positions 475 to 2746 of the family's 2925-position model. Lineage: Eukaryota; Metazoa; Mollusca; Bivalvia; Venerida; Anatinellidae. The record is from RNAcentral.
UUAUCAAAAUCUGUUUAAAAAGCGUACUGUGAAGGAGUUUUAAAAAGAGGUCUUCAUAAAAUUUUAGAAUAGAAAAGAAGAAGAGUGUUUUAAUUAUAGUGCCGAAGGGGAAAAGGUUCAAAAAAUAAAAAAAGGAAAUUGAAUUUCGUACUUCUUGUAUAAUGGUUUAUAGAGUGAGAAAAUGAGUUUUAAGUCCCGAAAGUCCUAGAGCUAUUUUAUUCCAGGUUAUUGUUGAAAAAAUAUGGUAGAGUUUAUAAUAGUGCAUGAAAUGUGAUUCGAAAGGGCUGAUAGCUGGUUAAAAAGGAAAUGCAUUUAAGUGCAGCAAAGUGGUGUGCGCGCGACUUAAAAUUUAAGCCGCGCGGAAGCUUUGGUGAGCCUUCAAGGGAAAGCUUUGAAGGUUAAAAAAAAUAAAGAAACAAUGUAGAGGUUAAAUUACUCAUCUGUUUGAAAUUUUUAUAAAUCGGUUUCUAAGCUGUGUUUAUUUAGUACUUUUUCUUCCGAUUGCUCUUUAAACGGAAGACUAGUAUAGGAUAAGUAGGUGAAAAAUAUGUGCUCAAACGUUUUUAAAAAAAAGAGUUUUUAAAGGUGAAGUUGUAAAAAUUUGUUUCUAAGGAACUCGGCAAAUAUGCUCCACGCCUGUUUAGCAAAAACAUCGCUUCUUGACACCAAAUAUAAGAGGUCGGCCCUGCCCGGUGGCCGAGAGGUUAAACGGUUGCAGGUAGCACUGUACUAUGGUAGCGUAGUAAUUUGUCCUUUAAUUGGGGAAAGGUAUGAAUGGGUUGACGAUGGAGCAGCUGUCUCUGAAGCAAUUGCUGAAAUUUUUUUUUAAGUGAAAAAACUUAAAUUUUAUAAUAAGAAGAGAAGACCCCGCUGAGCUUGAUUUUUAAAAUGUUUAACAAAGUUUGAGAAAGUUUGGUUGGGGCAACAAGAAGGUAAAAAAACCCCUUCUUCUAUUAUGAGGACCCCGUAAGACGGCCUAAAGCAAAAGCUACCACGGGGAUAACAGCGCAAUUUCUUUUAAGAGAUCAAAUUGAGAAAGAAGUUUGCGACCUCGAUGUUGGAUUAAGAUUACGCCGCGGUGCAGCAGCUGCGGAAGAAAGACUGUUCGUCUUUUCAUUUCUUACAUGAUCUGAGUUCAGACCGGUGCGAACUAGGUCGGUUUCUAUCUAUUUGAGUAGCGUUUUUAGUACGAAAGGAAUUAAAGGCUAAGUUUUACUUUACCCAUUAGAAGUGGGCU